This is a long non-coding RNA of Engraulis encrasicolus (European anchovy), 798 nucleotides long. RefSeq lists it as uncharacterized. The transcript has 4 exons. NCBI's taxonomy places the organism in Eukaryota, Metazoa, Chordata, Actinopteri, Clupeiformes, Engraulidae. The record is from RefSeq and is a predicted model, not a curated record.
UGUGAUUAACAGAAAUAUCAGAUUUGCAAUAAAAUAGUCCAUGUACUCUUGUCACAGGAGAGUCCAUCAGCUCACUAACACGGGUGAGGGACAGGGACCAAAGAGGAGGCUCUACAACAUGAGGAAAGACGGCGAUCCUCAAGCAGUCAGUCCAUGAGCCCACGUCUUCAGGCCAGGGGCCCGAGAGGAAUUUCCAGUGACAUGGAUCAACAGAGAUCCUCAAACAGUCAGUCCAUGUGCCACGUUCCAGCCAGGGACCAAAAGGGGGACUUUCGUCAUGGGGCCAGACAGACAUCCUCAAGCAAAAUAGAGAGAUGCAUCCAGGCCACCCACUAGGAGGUGGAAAAUCGUACGAAGAGGUGGCUGUACCUGGCAGCAGACUGAGAUGGGGUGAGGAAGAGAAGCACAGACCAAGAACGGAAUGUCAGACAUUUGCCCUUUUUUAUGCCCAGCACACACACACACACACCAGCAUAUAAACAUGCACAUAGACACAGGCGCACGUGCACACACAUACACGCACUCUCAAACAAGAUGAGUCUCUGGUGAUGUUGGCAAAUAAUCUGAAUCGAUACACACGGCAAUGAUUCCACCAUCGUGCCCCACCUACGCGAGUCCUGUCCUUCAGCAUUGACUUUCUCCCCAGGUGUGGUGUGCCUUCAUCCGAACCACAAUGGCAUCCCAAGCAGCAACAAAUACCUGCACGCAUGCAUGCUACGGUACACACACAAACACACUGGACUGUGAACUAGGUCAGACACACACACAUGCUCAAAGUAGCCAAGAUCGAAAAGGCUG